UUUAUCUUUGUUUAUAGAUAAAUAUACAUGUAUAUUAUGCAGCGAAUUUGAAGUUGAUGAAUCUAUGUAAUAAAUAUAUUUUGAAAUAAUGUGUUACAUAAAAUAUAAUGAGAAAAAAAAUAAUAAAUGCAAAGUGCGAGCUACAUUGCUAUAUAAUGAUAAUAUUCUAUAUUUCUUGAUCAUCCUAUUUCUUUCGCGCGCAAAAGAGUAAACGGUAUAGUCGAUUCGCAGUACCAUGGGGGCAUCAUCCAGAGUAUCGAAGGACAGUAGCACAUCCGCUCGUGCACACGAUCGUACACCCUCGGGAGUCCUCGUAGCUCUUCGUGAAUCCGUUCGUGGACCGCCUGGGGGCCCUACGAGCGUAACACCGGUAGCCACUACGCCAAAAGGGUCGCAUUCGCGCGGGAAGAGAGAAAAAAAGAGAAAGAUAGAAGUAUACAGACAGAAGGAGACAGAGUGAAAGAAGCAACUGAGGAUGGAAUAUCCAGGGCCGAAGCCUGAGAAAGAAAACUGUAGAUUUGAGAGAACUGGCAUCUUUUUUUCAAGAUGCAUUUAAACUUAGAAAAAAUGAACAGAGAAAGAACGGAGCGGGGGAGGAGAGAGGAAAUCACUGGCAGCGGCCACUAUAGGUACGGAGCCACAGGGGGGAAGGAGUGGAGGAAAAGUAAGGAGGGGGACAGGGUUCGAACGGACGGGAGACAUUCCAAUCUCUCGUGGCAAACUUGCCUGCUUUGCUUCGUUCGCUUGUCUGCUUGCCCGUUUGCCAAGAUAUCGUCGUCCUAAAGCCGACCCACACUACAUCGAAUGGCAUACGUAACCAUAUAAUCUCAUACGAUUAUAAAAUCGAUUUUGAAGAGAAAAGUAUUUCUUAAAAAUCCAGAUUCGAUAUAUAUCGUAUAUAUCGAUAUAUAUCGUAUCAUAUCAUCAAGAUCGCCCUCGAAUAGAGAAGAGAUUCGAUGACAUACAUUCGAUGUCCAUGACAUAUAGGUUAUGUAACAUCAUGUAACAUUUAAUGAUAUUUUAUUUAUAGAUAUUUUUAUAUACAAUUCAUUUCUUUUACAUAU
This is a long non-coding RNA of Apis dorsata (giant honeybee), 1064 nucleotides long. RefSeq lists it as uncharacterized. The transcript is spliced from 2 exons. The record is from RefSeq and is a predicted model, not a curated record. Lineage: Eukaryota; Metazoa; Arthropoda; Insecta; Hymenoptera; Apidae.